CCUAGCGGCGGACGGGUGAGUAACACGUGGGUAACCUGCCUGUAAGACCGGGAUAACUUCGGGAAACCGAAGCUAAUACCGGAUAAUUUCAAGCAUCGCAUGAUGCUUGAUGGAAAGACGGUUUCGGCUGUCGCUUACAGAUGGACCCGCGUCGCAUUAGCUAGUUGGUGAGGUAACGGCUCACCAAGGCGACGAUGCGUAGCCGACCUGAGAGGGUGAUCGGCCACACUGGGACUGAGACACGGCCCAGACUCCUACGGGAGGCAGCAGUAGGGAAUCUUCGGCAAUGGGCGAAAGCCUGACCGAGCAACGCCGCGUGAGCGAUGAAGGCCUUCGGGUCGUAAAGCUCUGUUGUUAAGGAAGAACAAGUACGAGAGUAACUGCUCGUACCUUGACGGUACUUAACGAGAAAGCCACGGCUAACUACGUGCCAGCAGCCGCGGUAAUACGUAGGUGGCGAGCGUUAUCCGGAAUUAUUGGGCGUAAAGCGCGCGCAGGCGGUUUCUUAAGUCUGAUGUGAAAGCCCACGGCUCAACCGUGGAGGGUCAUUGGAAACUGGGAAACUUGAGUGCAGAAGAGGAAAGCGGAAUUCCACGUGUAGCGGUGAAAUGCGUAGAGAUGU
Molecule: ribosomal RNA, 622 nt
Filed under: Bacillus sp. (in: firmicutes)
Lineage: Bacteria; Bacillati; Bacillota; Bacilli; Caryophanales; Bacillaceae
Description: bacterial SSU rRNA
Rfam family: Bacterial small subunit ribosomal RNA
Source: RNAcentral